This 1221-nucleotide long non-coding RNA is filed under the name Apteryx haastii (Great spotted kiwi). Its description in RNAcentral is "lncRNA (ENSAHAG00000003861.1)". The record is from RNAcentral. Lineage: Eukaryota; Metazoa; Chordata; Aves; Apterygiformes; Apterygidae.
CGGCUCCGCGCCCCGCCCCUCGCCGAGGCCCCGCCCACCGCCCCGCCAAUGCCGGCGCCGCGGCACCGCGGCCACGCCCCCGAAGGGGCGAGGUGCCCUCCUCAGCCCCGCCCACCGAUGCCUUAUAAGGCCCACGCGGCGUCAAGCCCCGCCCUAUAGGGGCGGGGCGCGGGCUGGCGGGAGAUCGCACGUGGGUGCCUGCCCUGCGGGAGGGUCCCGGGCCCGGCCGGGACCCCCCCAGGCCGAGCUGCGACCCCACCAGCCCAGCCCAGCCCGGCCACGGCUACAAGCCCAGCCCUCCACCAUGCUGCCCCACGCCCACAGCUCGCAGGGAACCCUGAGCUCCAUCAGCAGCUUCUGGGGACCUGGGUGGUAUUUGAGGUCUCCAGGCAGUGCAGCAGCACGGGACGGUGACAGAGGGUCCUUCCAGCUGCCCCGAGUCCCAGCCGACACGAACUAUCGCCCACGAACAGCCGGGCGAGCUGAGUGGUGUUUGCUGCCGUCCCUCCUCCCAGCCGGGCCGCAAGUAUGGACCUCGGCCACCCAAAAAUCACAUUACUGGUGACAAACACGUUGCCGAGUGCGGAGAGGAACCAGCAACGUUUGACAGAGGAGGGAGCAAUGCUUCAAGUAAGCCCCUGCCGUGAUGUUCCCAAAGUUUAUUACAUGUCCCCUAAACCCAAAACUCUGGGAAAAAAUGAUGCAUAGCGGGGGAAUGAACCUCUCGGGUAGGGAGACAGCGAGGGCGGCCGAGCCAGCGUCACGGCAGACAGCAAUCACCACCCCUGAACCGUAAUCAGCAAGUUCAACUGCUUUAAUUUGCCUGGGGAAAACGUUUUGCUAAACGUUUUUAAAUUGAUUUAAUGAGGCCAAUCAGAGACAAAAAACUUCUGGGAGGAACUGGGAGUUCGCUAAAGACAAUUCGGCAGCGCAGAACUUUUGGGGGAGCGGGGAGAGGCCACGGGCAGGCGCUCCCGCAGCGGCUGGCGGGACGUAGCGCCGGAGCGGCUGAGGAGCGCUGCGCGUGCCCUGUCCCGUCGCCUUGCCGCGGGAGCGCUGGCUCGCACGGGGGAGAUGGGAGCAGCGUUUUAAACCACCGCGGCCGUUUGCAAGGUUAACCUGUGUCUUAAACCUUAACGCAGCAGAUUUACCCACUGACCUCGACUUGUCUGUAGUGGUGCAACGUGCUCCUCAACCCAAUAAAAGACAGCUCUGCUGCCA